This 298-nucleotide ribosomal RNA is filed under the name Enterococcus saigonensis. RNAcentral's name for it is "partial 16S ribosomal RNA". It matches the Rfam family "Bacterial small subunit ribosomal RNA", at positions 505 to 798 of the family's 1533-position model. Lineage: Bacteria; Bacillati; Bacillota; Bacilli; Lactobacillales; Enterococcaceae. The record is from RNAcentral.
GGAUUCCCAGCAGCCCGCGGUAAUACGUAGGUGGCAAGCGUUGUCCGGAUUUAUUGGGCGUAAAGCGAGCGCAGGCGGUUUCUUAAGUCUGAUGUGAAAGCCCCCGGCCCUAUUAGGGAGGGUCAUUGGAAACUGGGAGACUUGAGUGCAGCAUAGGAGAGUGGAAUUCCAUGUGUAGCGGUGAAAUGCGUAGAUAUAUGGAGGAACACCAGUGGCGAAGGCGGCUCUCUGGUCUGUAACUGACGCUGAGGCUCGAAAGCGUGGGGAGCAAACAGGAUUAGAUACCCUGGUAAAAUAA